AAUAAUUUAUUUGAUGGUCUCUUACUACAUGGAUAACUGUAGUAAUUCUAGAGCUAAUACAUGCGUAAAAUCUCGACUCUAGCGGGGAGAGAUGUAUUUAUUAGAUAAAAAGCCAGCGCGGGUUCUGCCCGGUUUUGUGGUGAAUCAUAGUAACUUUUCGAAUCGCAUGGCUUCACGCCGGCGAUAGUUCAUUCAAAUUUCUGCCCUAUCAGCUUUCGACGGUAGUGUAGUGGACUACCGUGGCAUUAACGGGUAACGGAGAAUUAGGGUUCGAUUCCGGAGAGGGAGCCUGAGAAACGGCUACCACA
RNAcentral lists this ribosomal RNA (308 nucleotides) under uncultured eukaryote. RNAcentral describes it as "SSU rRNA". It matches the Rfam family "Eukaryotic small subunit ribosomal RNA", at positions 111 to 414 of the family's 1831-position model. The record is from RNAcentral.